AGUGAACGCUGGCGGUAGGCCUAACACAUGCAAGUCGAACGGCAGCACAGUAAGAGCUUGCUCUUACGGGUGGCGAGUGGCGGACGGGUGAGGAAUACAUCGGAAUCUACUUUUUCGUGGGGGAUAACGUAGGGAAACUUACGCUAAUACCGCAUACGACCUACGGGUGAAAGCAGGGGAUCUUCGGACCUUGCGCGAUUGAAUGAGCCGAUGUCGGAUUAGCUAGUUGGCGGGGUAAAGGCCCACCAAGGCGACGACCCGUAGCUGGUCUGAGGGGAUGAUCAGCCACACUGGAACUGAGACACGGUCCAGACUCCUACGGGAGGCAGCAGUGGGGAAUAUUGGACAAUGGGCGCAAGCCUGAUCCAGCCAUACCGCGUGGGUGAAGAAGGCCUUCGGGUUGUAAAGCCCUUUUGUUGGGAAAGAAAAGCAGCAGGUUAAUACCCCGCUGUUCUGACGGUACCCAAAGAAUAAGCACCGGCUAACUUCGU
Molecule: ribosomal RNA, 491 nt
Filed under: uncultured bacterium
Lineage: Bacteria
Description: partial 16S ribosomal RNA
Rfam family: Bacterial small subunit ribosomal RNA
Source: RNAcentral